AUUGAACGCUGGCGGCAUGCCUUACACAUGCAAGUCGAACGGCAGCAUGGAGAGCUUGCUCUCUGAUGGCGAGUGGCGAACGGGUGAGUAAAGCAUCGGAACGUACCGUGUAGUGGGGGAUAACGUAGCGAAAGUUACGCUAAUACCGCAUACGCACUGAGGUGGAAAGCAGGGGAUCGUAAGACCUUGCGCUAUACGAGCGGUCGAUGUCAGAUUAGAUAGUUGGUAGGGUAAAGGCCUACCAAGGGGACGAUCUGUAGCGGGUCUGAGGGGAUGGUCCGCCACACUGGGACUGAGACACGGCCCAGACUCCUACGGGAGGCAGCAGUGGGGAAUUUUGGACAAUGGGGGCAACCCUGAUCCAGCCAUGCCGCGUGAGUGAAGAAGGCCUUCGGGUUGUAAAGCUCUUUCGGCCGGGAAGAAAUCGCACAGGCUAAUACCCUGUGUGGAUGACGGUACCGGCAUAAGAAGCACCGGCUAACUACGUGCCAGCCGCCGCGGUAA
Molecule: ribosomal RNA, 504 nt
Filed under: uncultured bacterium
Lineage: Bacteria
Description: partial 16S ribosomal RNA
Rfam family: Bacterial small subunit ribosomal RNA
Source: RNAcentral